GCCACAUCCGGAAGCCUCGUCCCAGCUGCAGAGGCCAUCCGUCUUCACUGCUCAAGUGUGUCCACGGAGCAAUUUCAGUCCCCGGGGCUCCCACGAGCUCCGGACCCCUGGGCAUUCACAGCACCCCACAACCCCUCACUCUGCAGGCCAGAGCUCUCCUCUCCACUCACACACUCAGGACAUGUGGCUCAUUCACAGCUCCAGCUCUCACCUCGGCUCCUGACUCCAGCUGAGAGGUGUUUCCGGGGCACAGACCCACACCUGUGGUCGCUUACCAAAGGGCCAGCUCCCGAACAUGCCCCGUGCACCUCACCAUCAGCUCAUCUGGAACCAACCACACUCCUCCCUCCUCCCCUGCCGAGCCCAUUCCUCCUCCUUUGGCAUCAGGGGUUGGGCAAAUUUCAGUCAGCAAGCCAAAUCCAGCCCACGGCCCAGGAUGUAUUUUAUAUUUUUUACGUGUCGGGGGUGGGGGGGGGGCAAAAAAAAAAAUCAAAAGCUUAAUAUUUCACGACAUAUGAAAAUUAUGUGAAAUUCAAAUUUCAGUGUCCAUAAAUAGAAUUUUAUUGGAACAUAGCCACACUCAUUCAUUUACGCGUUAUCUGUGGCUGUUCUGUGUUAACAGCAGAGUUGAGUCAUUGAGCAGAGAUCACGUGGCCCACAAAGCCUAGAACAUUUGCUUUCUGGCCCAUCACGGGAAAAGGCUGCUGACUCCUGGCCUAGGCAAGG
This is a long non-coding RNA of Lutra lutra (Eurasian river otter), 726 nucleotides long. RefSeq lists it as uncharacterized. The transcript has 3 exons. The record is from RefSeq and is a predicted model, not a curated record. Lineage: Eukaryota; Metazoa; Chordata; Mammalia; Carnivora; Mustelidae.